This 704-nucleotide ribosomal RNA is filed under the name Sporobolomyces sp. RNAcentral describes it as "SSU rRNA". It matches the Rfam family "Eukaryotic small subunit ribosomal RNA", at positions 985 to 1713 of the family's 1831-position model. The record is from RNAcentral. Lineage: Eukaryota; Fungi; Basidiomycota; Microbotryomycetes; Sporidiobolales; Sporidiobolaceae.
AAGGAAGGGGGAUCGAAAACGAUCAGAUACCGUUGUAGUCUCUUCUGUAAACUAUGCCAAUUGGGGAUUAGCACAGGAUUUUCAAUGACUGUGUUAGCACCCGAAGAGAAAUCUUUAAAUGAGGUUCGGGGGGGAGUAUGGUCGCAAGGCUGAAACUUAAAGGAAUUGACGGAAGGGCACCACCAGGUGUGGAGCCUGCGGCUUAUUUUGACUCAACACGGGGAAACUCACCAGGUCCAGACACAAUAAGGAUUGACAGAUUGAUAGCUCUUUCUUGAUCUUGUGGUUGGUGGUGCAUGGCCGUUCUUAGUUGGUAGAGUGAUUUGUCUGGUUAAUUCCGAUAACGAACGAGACCUUAACCUGCUAAAUAGACCAGUCGACUUUGGUUGACUGCUGUCUUCUUAGAGGGACUAUCAGCGUUUAGCUGAUGGAAGUUUGAGGCAAUAACAGGUCUGUGAUGCCCUUAGAUGUUCUGGGCCGCACGCGCGCUACACUGACAGAGCCAGCGAGUCUUUUUCCUUUGCCGGAAGGCAUGGGUAAUCUUGUGAAACUCUGUCGUGAUGGGGAUAGAACAUUGCAAUUAUUGUUCUUCAACGAGGAAUACCUAGUAAGCGUGAUUCAUCAGAUCGCGUUGAUUACGUCCCUGCCCUUUGUACACACCGCCCGUCGCUACUACCGAUUGAAUGGCUUAGUGAGGCCUCCGG